RNAcentral lists this non-coding RNA (89 nucleotides) under Desulfobacterales bacterium. Lineage: Bacteria; Pseudomonadati; Thermodesulfobacteriota; Desulfobacteria; Desulfobacterales. The record is from RNAcentral.
UGUUAACGCCACUGUAUUGAAGAAUCAGUAUGGGAAGGCAGCUAAAAGGGCGGGGGAGUCAGAAGACCUGCCAUUUUGUUUGGCAUUGG